This 1364-nucleotide ribosomal RNA is filed under the name uncultured bacterium. RNAcentral's name for it is "bacterial SSU rRNA". It matches the Rfam family "Bacterial small subunit ribosomal RNA", at positions 28 to 1381 of the family's 1533-position model. The record is from RNAcentral.
GAUGAACGCUAGCGGCAGGCCUAAUACAUGCAAGUCGAGGGAGAGGUUUGGUGCUUGCACUAGAUGGGAACCGGCGAACGGGUGCGUAACACGUAUGCAACCUACCUAUAACUGGGGGAUAGCCCGAAGAAAUUCGGAUUAAUACCCUAUAAUAUUUUGAUCUCGCAUGGGAUUGAUUUUAAAACUCCGGUGGUUAUAGAUGGGCAUGCGGUCUAUUAGUUUGUUGGUGAGGUAACGGCUCACCAAGACUACGAUAGAUAGGGGGUCUGAGAGGAUGAUCCCCCACACUGGUACUGAGACACGGACCAGACUCCUACGGGAGGCAGCAGUAGGGAAUAUUGGACAAUGGACGCAAGUCUGAUCCAGCCAUGCCGCGUGCAGGAAGACUGCCCUAUGGGUUGUAAACUGCUUUUAUACAGGAAGAAACCUCCCUACGUGUAGGGAGCUGACGGUACUGUAAGAAUAAGGACCGGCUAACUCCGUGCCAGCAGCCGCGGUAAUACGGAGGGUCCAAGCGUUGUCCGGAUUUAUUGGGUUUAAAGGGUACGUAGGCGGGACUUUAAGUCAGUGGUGAAAGCCUCCAGCUUAACUGGAGAAUUGCCAUUGAAACUGAAGUUCUUGAAUAUGGAUGAGGUGGUUGGAAUAUAACAUGUAGCGGUGAAAUGCUUAGAUAUGUUAUAGAACACCAAUUGCGAAGGGCAGAUCACUAAACCAUUAUUGACGCUGAGGUACGAAAGCGUGGGGAGCGAACAGGAUUAGAUACCCUGGUAGUCCACGCCGUAAACGAUGUUCACUCGCUGUUGGCGAUAUACUGUCAGCGGCCAAGCGAAAGCAUUAAGUGAACCACCUGGGGAGUACGAUCGCAAGGUUGAAACUCAAAGGAAUUGACGGGGGCCCGCACAAGCGGUGGAGCAUGUGGAUUAAUUCGAUGAUACGCGAGGAACCUUACCAGGGCUUAAAUGAUAAUUGACCGUCGCCGAAAGGUGUCUUUCUUUUAGACAAGUAUCAAGGUGCUGCAUGGCUGUCGUCAGCUCGUGCCGUGAGGUGUUGGGUUAAGUCCCGCAACGAGCGCAAACCCCUAUCUCUAGUUGCCAGCAAGUAAUGUUGGGGACUCUAGAGACACUGCCUACGUAAGUAGUGAGGAAGGUGGGGACGACGUCAAGUCAUCAUGGCCCUUACGUCCUGGGCUUUCACGCGUGCUACAAUGGAUGGUACAAAGAGCAGCCGACUCAGCGAUGAGGAGCGAAUUCUCGAAAAAACCUUUCUCAGUUCGGAAUCGGAGUCUGCAACUCGAACUCCGUGAAAGCUGGAAUCGCUAGUAAUCGCGUAUCAGCAAAUGACGCGGUGAAUACGUUCCCGGGCCU